Non-coding RNA from Lentinula edodes (shiitake mushroom), 91 nucleotides. The record is from Rfam. Lineage: Eukaryota; Fungi; Basidiomycota; Agaricomycetes; Agaricales; Omphalotaceae.
GCUGGAAUGGCCGAGUCGUUAAGGCGAUAGAUUUGAAUUUCAUCAUAUCUAUUACUCUCUGAGUGCGUAGGUUCAAAUCCUGCUUCCAGCG